Molecule: non-coding RNA, 23 nt
Filed under: Cricetulus griseus (Chinese hamster)
Lineage: Eukaryota; Metazoa; Chordata; Mammalia; Rodentia; Cricetidae
Source: RNAcentral
GAGCAAGGACCAGGACAGCCAAU